CCUACGGGAGGCAGCAGUGAGGAAUAUUGGUCAAUGGACGCAAGCCUGAACCAGCCACGCCGCGUGCAGGAUGACGGCCCUAUGAGUUGUAAACUGCUUUUGUACGGGGGUAAAUUCCGUUACGUGAAUAGGGUUGAAAGUACCGUACGUAUAAGGAUCGGCUAACGCCGGGCCAGCAGCCGCGGGAAUACGGAGGAUUCAAGCGUUAUCCGGAUUUAUUGGGUUUAAAGGGUGCGUAGGCGGUUCGAUAAGUUAGUGGUGAAAUCACGGGGCUCAACUCCGGCACUGCCUCUGAUACUGUCGAGCUAGAGUGUAGGUGAGGUAGGCGGAAUGUGUGGUGUAGCGGUGAAAUGCAUAGAGAUCAGACAGAACACCGAUUGCGAAGGCAGCUUACCAGACUACGACUGACGUUGAGGCACGAAAGCGUGGGGAGCAAACAGGAUUAGAUACCCUGGUAGUC
This 460-nucleotide ribosomal RNA is filed under the name uncultured bacterium. RNAcentral's name for it is "partial 16S ribosomal RNA". It matches the Rfam family "Bacterial small subunit ribosomal RNA", at positions 338 to 795 of the family's 1533-position model. The record is from RNAcentral.